CUUCAACAACGCCAGGUCCUUCUACCGCCUCGACCGCACCUGGCUCAGCGGACUCGUCUUCAUGCUCGCCGCCCUGCUGGUGGCUCUGGCCUUGGCCGUCUAUUCUGCGAGUGCCGCCAACGUCCAUGCUAAGCGCUUCACCGACUGGAGGUUCUCAUGGUCGUACUUCAUCAGCUGGGCCGCGCUAAUGCUCACCUUCAUGGCGGGGAUGUUGUCCAUGUGCUCGUACAAGCCAAAGGUCUCUAGGAGACAUUGACCCGCAGUAACCUCGACGACUUUCUCUCUCCCACUUAGACACGGGGAGAGACACAGAGACACACACAGAGA
This is a long non-coding RNA of Lethenteron reissneri (Far Eastern brook lamprey), 327 nucleotides long. RefSeq lists it as uncharacterized. NCBI's taxonomy places the organism in Eukaryota, Metazoa, Chordata, Hyperoartia, Petromyzontiformes, Petromyzontidae. The record is from RefSeq and is a predicted model, not a curated record.